This 387-nucleotide unclassified non-coding RNA is filed under the name soil metagenome. RNAcentral's name for it is "partial contains 5.8S ribosomal RNA, internal transcribed spacer 2, and large subunit ribosomal RNA". The stretch from base 1 to 121 matches the Rfam family "5.8S ribosomal RNA", at positions 35 to 154 of the family's 154-position model. The record is from RNAcentral.
GAUGAAGAACGUAGCGAAAUGCGAUAAGUAAUGUGAAUUGCAGAUUUUCAGUGAAUCAUCGAAUCUUUGAACGCACCUUGCGCUCCCUGGUAUUCCGGGGAGCAUGCCUGUUUGAGUGUCAUUAAAUUCUCAACCCCGAUCGGAUUUGUUUUCGCAUUCGGAGGCUUGGAUAGUGGAGCGUGCUGGCCCCCUCUCAUGGGUCGGCUCCUCUCAAAUGCAUUCGCGGAAUCGACUUUGGUCCAUUUCGGUCAUCAGUGUGAUAAACGUUGCGCUGUUGGCUAGGAUCGAGGUGCCACAUACAAUGGUCUUCGGACAAUUUUAUAAACCAUUUGACCUCAAAUCAGGUAGGACUACCCGCUGAACUUAAGCAUAUCAAUAAGCGGAGGA